This 34597-nucleotide long non-coding RNA is filed under the name Coffea arabica (coffee). RNAcentral's name for it is "long non-coding RNA (CARA_LNC000770)". The record is from RNAcentral. Lineage: Eukaryota; Viridiplantae; Streptophyta; Magnoliopsida; Gentianales; Rubiaceae.
UUUUUUUUUUUUUUUUGGGUGGAGCCUAGCUCCAAGAAGAGAGUUUUUUUGAGGAACUAACCAUCCAUGGUAAGGGACAAGAAUAGAUGAAUGCAGGAUGUGUCCCACAAAACCGUUUAACGUUGGGUUGUUGGAAAAACUCCCAUGCCCGCUGCAGUUCCAAGAAAUUGGAGAUUUGAUUUAAUUAUCGCAGACCAAAACAAAGAAAAGAAAAGGAAAAAUGGUGGUGAUCAACUGGUGGGUGAAGAGAUUGCAGUAGUUACCAAUCAUGGCCAAGAACAAAGAUUGCCCAAAACAUUGUUCCCUGAGCAGCCCAAUAAACUGGCCAAACCAUCCAAUUGUCAAAGUGAAGUGCCAGUGCUAUUAAUCCAACCACUACAACAAGGUCUCGAGCAACAUAACUCAGAGACCUCCAUGGAUUCUUUACCCAGCAAUGCUCAGGAAUGGCCGCUCGAAUGUCAGCAAUCUUAAAAGGAGGCGAUGCGCUUGGAUCAAAAUCAACUUCAUCCAUGUCUUUGCUAAUGAUACCGCUGCUGCUGUUCACCGGUCUCUCUGUCUCCUCGCACUCUCCCACCAAUGCCCUACCAGGUUUAGUAUUUUCAACUUGGCCCUUUUUGUCUGCCGAAAGCGGCGAAAGGGAGUGACCCAAAUCUGUAAAAAGGUCGGUGAGCAAGAAAACCAACUUGAGAAGCGAAAAAGAGAUUCUUGAAAGGGAAUCAAUCACUUUCUGCUCAAGUAUGAAUCUUGAAUUCUAAAAAAAAAAAAAAAAAAAAAGGGUUCAAAUACGGUUACAAUAUUUUAGACUCUAGCACGACUACCAAGGGGGGGUGGGGUGGGGAUCUUAUGCACAGAGAGCAUCGGCAACAGCAAAUGCCAGAUGGGUUCAUUUUCAAGUGUGAGGAACUUGCUGCAAGUAUAUGUUAGUAAUUACUUGUACUAUUGUCUGUCGCCCGAAAAUUUAAAGGCAUUUUCACGCGGGUAUCUCCAAGUAUAAAAUACUAGUAUAUGGUAGAGCAUCUCGUUUUCCCAGGACCUUACCUCACAAUUUACAGAAGUACUUCUCCUUUUUCUAGGUUUGUCCAUAUCAUUUUUUUUUUGGGGGUAUUCAUUUGAUUUUACUAAAUCUCUUAAUGAAUAGAGAUUCUUUUUACAUUAGCUAGCUACCUACGACAUGUAUUCUAUUCCAAUGCACUAGCACUAUUACAGUAUUACUACUGCCGGAGGGAUUACCGCAUAAUAAUCUCAAAGUAUCCCCUCCCCGGCAGAACCCCCUAUUUCGCCCAAGUUGUUUUGGAACCGACGCUGAAUAGUGGACGGAGAGACAAUGUGACAAGGGGGCAGAUCGUUUUCAGUCUGUUCUUGGAUUCUGAUUUAUACAAAAUUAAUUAAUCUUGUAGUGCUGCUUGUGGUUGAAUUUGUAAGUUGGGGGGGUAAAGGUGUUGCCAUGAUGCUAGGAAGACGACUGAAAGAACACAGCAAAGUACACUCACGCACUUAGCACCGAAAACUGAAGUUUGUUACAUCCUAUCCUAUGUUUGGUUUGGGGCUGCCAAGUGUGAGCGCAUAUAAUUUUAGCGGACUCCAAUCUCCCAUAUUGACAGAAAGCGAAAGGUGCAAUAUGGUGGUGCCCCAUGCAAAAGGCAUCGGGGAAAAAGGAAAAUUUUCUUACGAAAGGCAGGUUUUUCUGUUACUAUACUUUGAUGAAGAAUUCCACUUUCUUGACAGACUUAGCAUAUAAACAUAUUGGAAUCUUAGUAGCAUGACAGAAAGACAGACAGUAGUGUAAUUUUAAAAAGUAAUAGUACAUAAAAUCGAAACCGGACAGGUACAGUUAACCUUAAUUUUUUUAUGACUCACUGUACAUUCACGUAACUUACUCUGUUUUAUUUUAUGAUUUGAGUACAAUAAAGUUAUUUAAAUGUACAACAAAUUAUGAAAAAUGUACAACAAUCUUAUCAAUUGUACCUGAGAUCAACGAUACCUGUUCAGAUCAACCCGCGUAAAAAUAUAUAUAAGGAUCAGAGGAUAAGAUAAUGAUAAAUUUAGAUCGAUGAUUGGUGGCUACAAGUAGCGUGUAACUUCUAAAAACAGGACAACCAAAUGGCAAAAUGUAUGUGUGCUAAUUCCAUUCCACAACGAUGGUUGCAUUUGCUUGAAAUAUAGAAAUCCUCCACCGAAUUUAACAGGAAAGACGAGAGAAAAAGCUAAGGAGAAUUCUAGAAUAAUAUGCUUACCAGAUUGGAAUUAUUUCUUAAGAAACACGGAAAGAUGUGCUCUUUGUUUAUCACAAAGUAAAAAAAAAAAAAAAAAGCAACAAUUUGUCUCUUUGUUCAUCACAAAGCGGCACAACCAUGAUUUUAGGCAACUUUUCACCGAAAUAGAAAGUUAGAGAGCUAAGCAUAUGCAUGACAUGAAUGUGGUUGAUAUUUUACCUUGACACAUGUCGGCGGAAGAGCACCAGCUGCUGAGGGUCAAGGAAGGGGGAAGAGGGAGAUUGAACAGGGGAAUGACUUAUUCCUCGAUCAGCCAAGUCGGAGAAGGACAAACGAAUUUGUGUCUGUUUCUCGGGGUGUCCGCCAUGCAGGGAUCCUCAAAUUUAUAAGGCAAAAAAAGUAUCGAUGGCCGGUGGAGAUGCCCGUAUUAAAAACGGUAAGAGCAUUAUACACGCCAGGAAUGUAUGAAAUUUGCUUUGCAGCUAUACACUAGUGAGUGACAUGGACGAUGUGUGCCCGUCGAACUCGGCCCUCCGUUGUCUUGACUCUCGUGGGGUUGUGCUUCUCCAGCUACUCCCACCAUCGGUUUACUUCUACAAUUUGGGUUCUCUCUCUUCAUUUCCUUUUUUGGGAAAUUUCCAAACGAUUUUAGCCUUUCCCCUCUCUCUUUCUCUAUUUUGGGGGCUGCUAUUUACUUCAUUCAUUAACAAAAGCUAAGCUCGGUAAGGCCUUUUUGGUUGUUCAAUUGUUGUAAUCGAAACUAUGGAUCUCUGAUAAAGGGGUAUCCAUAAUUUUUCUUGAAAUAAUUCAGGAUCAGUACGUGUCAGAUCCUUAGUCCUACAACUUUGGAGUUUGGUUUCUGCUCUCCACGCAUUUUAGAACAGUCAUUUUAACAAGUUGCUCCCCAGAUGGAUUAUCGACCUUGUGAACACUAAAUUCCACAUUGCAAGGGAUAUGAAAAUACUCCCAUCCAAUCUCUACUUUCUUUGUAUCCCUAUUCAUAUUCUUACUAAGUCAGCUUCGAAAUACCAGUAGUAGUGUUUCCGGGCGCUGGAUUUCUUUUGGAAUAUUUACCCGGUAUUCAAAGAUUUCAAUAUUUAUUCUCCCCUAAAACAGUAUUUUUAUUUAUUUAUUUCUUGGGUUCUGAAUCAAAAUAUGGGUCGUUGUCCAAGGUAUCCGCGUUAUAUAUAAUGUCUUUGGUUAAUUUAAUUUUAUGUGUUGUGCUCGGGCUGGUGGAGCUCCGCGACAAGGACCCGAAUGAAUACUUGUUAAACUCAAGCUGGAUUUUUUUUUAAAAAAAAAAAUUUCCUUGGUGCACGUGUCUCAUUUUCUUCAAUUUAAACAUGCUACGAUGAACUGUACCCAAAUAUGGACCUUUGAAGCGGCGGCCGGACUGAAGCCAUUAGGUCAAAAUUGCGUACUAGAGUUAACUACUAGUAUUAGAACAGUGUGCUAACUGGAAAAUUUUAGUUUGAGGGGGUGAAAUACACACACAUAUAUGCAUAUAUAUAUAUAUAUAUAUUUGGAGUCUUUUUGAAAAGUUUUGGAGACAAAUAUGUAUAGAAAUUUUGAAAAUUCUCAAACUUUUAAGAGAAGAGAGUAUGAUUUUUCUUGGAAGGACGAAUAGCUAAAUAAAUAUAAGAACUUUGAAAAAUUUCAAAAUUUGAUAGAGACAAAGUAUGAAUUUUUAGAAUUUGACAGGGACUGGGUUGGGGAGAAUUUUUAGAAUUUGACAGGGACCCUUGAUUCGAAAAAAUGGAGAACUCCCCCAAACACGGGACACGUAACCCAAUCACAGAGCCGUUUCUCUGAGGUUAAUUGUGCUUUGUGUGAUGCAUGUGUUGUAUGACAUUCAAUCAAGCAGCCGCAUAAUUUGUUACCAAAUAUAUAGUUUUUAUUUUUGUUAAUCAAGUUACAAACGAUGAUGAGAAUAAUAAAAAUAAUUUUAAAAAUUAAUCCACAAAUGAUAGGUAUUACGAUUUUUUAAGAUAUUACGAACUAGCCCACAAAAAUAUGGUAAAUAAAACUCACAUAUAAUAAAAUUUCAACCCACGAUCCUACACAUAGACAUAGUGCUCUCUCUUAACAUUUCAUGAAUUAUAAGUCUUGAAUUCAAGUUUUCGUGUAUGUUAAUUUUUUCUCUCGCUAUUUGUGAAUUGAUUUAUAUUAAUUAAUUAAAUUUCUUCUACUUUCACGUAAUAAACGUGUGAUUGACACUGAAUUUAAUUUAGAAUAGGGAAGUGGCAGUCCGGCGGAGAGGAUCUCAAGUUUGUGGUCCAUAAGACAAGGGGGGCCUCAAAGGUUCAACCACACAUUUCGCUCUCGGGCUUUUACAGCUUAGGAAAUUGGGCAGGCGUUCUGACUUGUGUGAGGUGGGUUUGUCAGUAGUUUCAAGUUGAACGUUAAGAGCUACGUCUCACGAAGCGAGAAGAGCCUUACUAACAGAUUUCAUAAUUCUAAGUACGAUUUCAUAAUUCAGUGACAAUGCAUACAUUAUUACUAGUGGGAAUACCCGUGCUAUGCACGGUGCUGACAUUAUUGGAAAAAAAAUAAAAUGGUGAACAAAUAAAGGUGAAAAAAUUUUACCAAUAAAAUUAAAAUAUAAUAUCUGUUUAACAAUAGUUUGAAAUAUAAUAGAAUGUAUAUAUCAUUCAAGAACCGUCUUUUUUCAGUUGUAUGAGAAUUUUUUUUAUCAUUGUAUGAGAAUUGUUAACAAAAAAAUACAAUAGUUAAUAUAGAAUAGCAUCAAUAGAAUUUAAUACAAUUGUGUUAUAAUCAAAUGAAAAAUACGCACCAAUUGAAUUGUUAUUAGCACCCAUAGUUAAUGAAGUAAUCCCUAUAUAAAAAUAUUUUGGUACAUGUAGUAAUUGGUAAUCUAUAAAAUAAAAUAAAUUGCUAAUCUAUAAAAUUGCUAAGUUGUCUAUAAAUAGCAUCAAUAGAAUGUAAUACAAUUGUAUUGUAAUCGAACAAUUGUAAUACAAUUGUAUUGUAUUGUAUCUAUAGUUGAUUUAGCAAGAUAGUGUAGCCAAAAAAUGUAUAUGUAAGAUAAGUAUGACGAUAUAAGAAACUGUAUAUUUACCAUGAUCAUGCAAAAUCAUUGGUGAUGUGGAUGCCUGGCGAUCUUGAGGAUAGUUACAUUUUUCAUUUCUUAGAUCUAGAAAUAAAAUAUAUAUUAAAUUAAAAAUCAAUAGUUUAUGUAUUUAUUUUAUGUGUAAAUAGUGAUACAUUGUAUGAGAACUGUUAACCAAAAAAAAUAAUAAUUAAUAUAGAAAUAGCAUCAAUAGAAUUUAAUAGAAUUGCAUUGUAAUCAAAUGAAAACAAUUACAGAGAAGUGGUUACCUGAACUAAGGAAUGCAGUUUUUAAUGCUCAAAAGUGCCUUGACGAUUGCACAUAUGUCAGGGGCUUUGUGAGUUUUUGGCUCCUCUUGAAUCAUUUUCUUUUUUCUAAUUGUAAUAUAUUACCUACAGGUGUUAAGUAGGACUUGGCUCUAACCUUUCGUUUAAGUACUUUAAGCAAUGAACUAUUUAUUCCGUGAGUUGAAUUGUGCUGUUGCUAGAUAGAUGAAUUACAUAGUUGUAAUUGUCAUUGUUGAUAAAGAAAAGAAAGGAUAGAAUGCAAUUUUGCCAAAAGGAUUUCUGACGAAAUUAAAAAUUAAUCCAAUUUUAAUAAUGGGCGUAUAGUGCCUUAGUUAUUAGUAGUAGCUGAAUUGUUUUUCUCCAAUUAUAAACCAUUUUUAAUUAUUUUUUAAAAUUAUCAAAAAAUAUUUUUUUUUAUUUCAUGCACGAUCAUUUUUGGAAUAAAAUUAUGAAAAUAACUAUCGUAACACCUAUUUUAUGUGAUAAAUGUGCAAUAAAAAAUAAUUAAAAAAAUUUCAGUAAUACAAACAAAUAAAUUUUUAUAAUAUACAAUUUAUGUUAGAAAUAAUAGAACCCUCAAUCAUGAACCUAUACCAUCCGCAAUUAUAUAAGCAAGCAAUACCUUUUUAUCUUUGAUUUACAGUGUAACAAUAAGCAAACAACCGUUCAUAAGAUUUUGUAAAAAAUUUUCAGAAAUAAUGGAUGAUCAGAAAAUCAAUGCAAUAUCAUUAAUGACAAACAACAAAGCAAAAACAAAACAUACUUAAAAGGCAGAGGGGACUGACCUGGAAAAUUAAGCCGGCCGCAAGAAGGUUGAUUUCUGCUGGAGUCUCUGCACAUAAUAUCUUCCACUACUGCUCACAAAAGAAACAAAAUCAAUACAUUUACAAAAUCAAUAGAGAACCUAAAACAAAUAAGAAACUGAGAGAGAGGGUGAGGGAAUUAACUCGAUAAGUUAAUUAAGUCGAUCAGUAAAAGAAGAAGUUGUAGGAGUAAUUGUAUGAUGAAUUAAGAUAGUGGGAUAGUGGGAGUGAGAUAGUGAGAAUAUUGAUUGGUGAUAAGGUGAUAGUGAGAUAGUGGGAAUAUUGAUUGGUGAUAAGGUGGGUUAUAACCCACUACCUUUUUAUGUAUUAAAAUAAAUACAAAAAUAUGAGUUAAGAUAGUGGGAUAGUGGGAGUGAGAUAGUGGGAAUAUUGAUUGGUGAUAAGGUGAUAGUGGGAUAGUGGGAAUAUUGAUUUGUGAUAAGAUGGGUUAUAACCCACUACUUUUUUAUGUAUUAAAAUAAAUACAAAAAUCUAGAAAAAAGUAUGACAAGUUUAGAAGGCAUUGAGAGGGUUUCUGCUAAAAAUCCCUUCCUGAAUACAUAUAGAUAUAGAUUAGGUUAAAAUAAAUAUUAUAUUAUUUUAAAGAUGAAUUUCAAUUUUAAAUUUUACAUAUAUAUAUAUAUAUGAUAGAUGUGUAUCCAAAUUUGAUGAAAAAAUUAACCAUAACGUUUAUGAUUCAUUUUCUAUGGGGUAAUUGCAAGUUUGUAUUAAAAAAGUAGGAAAACAUUUUACAUUCAUUAAACUAGGAGGGGUAUUCUUGAUCAAAAAAGAGUUUUUUUUAGAUGAAAACAAAUUUCAUUGACAGAUUGUUGGAAAUCAUGCAGCAAUAAAAUAAGGAAAAAAACACAAAAUCUCUGUAGAAAUCCCUAGAAAAAUAGAAAAUUCUCACUAGAAUCUCUAGAAAAAACAACCAAAAACUCUCACAAAAAAAAAAAAAAAACUUAGAAGAGACUUUAUUAGAAAAAACAAAACAAAAAAAAAAGCAUUUCGUAAUUAAUAAGCCGGCAAGGUGAUUUAGUCGCAAUUACUCUUUGCGUAGACCAAAAAAAAGGGCAAUUUAUGGCACGAUAUCAAUUGCACAACUGUAAUUGGUUUACUGGUCUAAAAAAUCAUACUACGGACAAUUAAAGUAAAAUAUUGAAAGCUAUUUAAAAAAGAGAGAGAAGAAGAAGAAAAAGUGAUACUUGAUUUAUAUUUAUUUCUGAAAAUUCUAAUGUCCUUAAUUUGCCAAACAAAACAGAAAAGAUCAUCACCUCUCGUCUAACAUGAGCACAAGUUCAAUUAAAAAUUCUCUUCUGAUGCCAAUAAAGUGUGGAAUGGUACCUUCAAUCCCACAAGGCUCAAAUUAGAUAUUUAAUACUCCAUACGGAAAAUAUAAUUACGUUACAGAAGAGAAACUCAAUUGGUUCAACAUAAUGGCUGCUCAAGAAGCAAAUAUCAAAAGUCUAUGAUCCCAAAAUCAAACUCUUUGACAUUUGUUUUAGGACCAUUUCUAAUUGCUAACGACGUUAUAAGACUACUGUUUCUGCAGUUUUGCCCUAGAAAUCAGAUUUUUUUUGGCCCACGGGACUGAUCUCUUCAUUCGAAUUUAUUUAUUUUUUGGUAAGCAGAGAGUUUUGAACCCGAAUUCUCACUUGCAUCUCAUCUCCCGUAUUGUCAAAACCGUCACUCUGCCCCCUCCGUUCGAAAUUGACAUUAAGAUCUCCGUUCAUGAAGAUGUUCAAAUAAUCUUAACCAGCCAGCCGUUGAAAUGGAAUUCUGGGGUAAUUCUUAACUCCAGUCAAUAGACAAAUUUGAGUUGAUCCUACUUGACAAUUUCUUCACAAGUCUUAGAAAGUGCGAAAGCCCAUACCAAUCUAGACUUAGUUCCGAUGAUUUACCCAAAAAAAAAACUCUAAAUAACCUUCAGUCCGACAAGCUCGAUGAUCAUUACUCCUUUGUAUCUUCUUCUUUGUAAAAAAAUCAUGCGAUUGUAUCAUAAAUAUUUUUGAAUUAAUUUUUUAUAUACUGAUAGUAUACACGCUGUCGAUGUUCGAUGAAUAAUAACCAUACAAAGUUUAAAUUUGAAAUUUAACUUUUGCACACGUAUCAUGAAUUCAACAAUGAUAAUAUAUACACUUAUACUGUAAGUGUAUAUAAGGUCUACUCAAUAAUUUCUAAUCACUAUUUUAUUAUUUCAACCACUUUACCAUCUCACAUAUAUAUAUCACGUCACAAAAAAUAUUAAAUAGUAUUAUUUUAAAAGAUUUUUUUUUCUAAAUAAUCCCCUAUGCACGCGCGCGCACACAUUCCACGGUCGAAAUAUGAAUAGUAAUUGCAGAAGCAGCAAAUUGUGCGGAAUCAGCCCAGAAUGAGGAUUGGAAAGCCAAAAGAAAAAUGUUUAAGCAUCCCCUUUGUACGGUAGCCCCAGGGCUCAUACGGUUCUAAUUCUAAAAUACGCUCCGGGGAGAAAGGAGAAAGGAGAAAGAGGGUGGACACAAUAAAUUCAAUGGUUGAGUGGAGCCAAGUCCAAGUAAUACAAGUAAUGAGGAAACUGAUUUGUACUAGAGACGAUCUAUUAUAAUAAAACCUUCGGAGCAUUUACUGGGAGAUGGAUCGCAAAUCGACGGCCGCAAUCAGCCUCUAAUUAGCUGUACGGGGAUCGGCUUAAAUGUUUGGUUCCAAUGAAAAAGUGCAGGACAGUGUGUCGUUAAUGUUGUUUGUCCUACCAUCAUUUUGUGAGUGAAGUCACACCAAAGUACCGUCCUUGCGAUGUACUGUAUCUUGCGUGUCACUGUGGACUCGCUUGAAUUUUUUAUGCAUGAUCACAUUUAAUUGUAAUAAAUUGAUGGGAGGUAAGAUUUGAACCCUUGUCUUCCAUCUCACAAAGUUUUAAUGAAUUGGUGGUAGUUACCAACCAAAAAACUGGUGGUUUUUUCUUUUCUUUUUCACUUGCUUCAUAUUUAUUUGUGGAAAGAAUCUGCCAAUAAAUAUCACCCCGUUAAAAGUAAAGAUAAAAUGGAGAGUGACAGAGAGAAAUGCAUUUGACAAGUUUUGGAGAUUUUGGCUCAAGGCAAGGAUGGGAUUAUGAGAACGCCGUCUCUCUCGCCGCUCUGACUGCCAAACGCGUAGUGAACAUGGGCAUGUCCAGAACAAGUGAUGGACAGUUUCCACAAUCUCAUAACAUCGCGGGCAAGAUGUUUAGUGCGCAUUUGGCAUUAAACAUUCGUAGGUCGGGUGUUCUAACUCACCUACAGUGAAAAAAAUUUAAAGGAGGUGAAAGAAUACCCUUUUGAAUCUAGUCAGAUCUGUAUACCUGUUAGUCCCUUACAUAGCUUCUUCAAACUCUUCCUUCCUAUAGAAUAGGUUGGAUUAAAUUAUAAGAAUGUUAUCGUUGAUGCUAAAAAAAAAAAAAACAUUCGCUCUUUAUAUUGUAGUAAAUAGAUUUUCUACCAUGUGUCAAUUGGCACUUGUUAAUAUCAUAAUUUGAGGAUUCCUUAAUGGGAAUAGCUUAUUUCACUUUUUUUUUUUCCAUUUUAAAUCCGCACCUUCAAUACAUUGGUUACUUAUACAAUUAGCAGUGAAAGUACAUUGUAUGGAUCUAACCGCUACCCUAAUAUUAAGUUGUGUUUUACUGCUCAGUUAACCCGAUUUCUUAUAAUAAAUAGUACAUGAUUUGAUUAAAAACUCGAUGAACCUCGAGUCUAGAGAUUUUACUUGAUUAUUCACCAAGUAAUCAGGAGCUUCUAUUGAGUUGAAUUUGUUUAAAACCCACAAAUAUAAUAAAUUUCCGACAAAAUUUUUUCAACUUUAUAGUUUCGAAAUAGAUAAUGAGUACAUAAAAAAAAAAGAUCAUUAAAAAGCUUAACACCUAAAUAAAUUCUUAGAAUAAUUUAAUUGUUGACAAACGACAUGGUAAAUGCAUAUAGUUUAUGACCUUGAAUUUUGUACUUCAUGAUGGAAAAGAAAUUUGUUCCAGUAGUCGAGUAUGCUUAGCUUAAUAGCUCUUUGAAUCAGUUUAAAUUUUACAAAAAAUUAUCAUGCGUUUGUACAUUGUGCAAACACACACAUACAUUGUUUAAUACUUGGACUUCACCUAACAAGUGCUCCUGAGUACUCACCAGACCCCUUCUUCUUUUUUCUUUUUUGUGUUUCAAUGUAUCUGACUUUUUAAUUGGUUGUUAAGUGAAUUUAUGUGAAAGGUGGGUGCACUAAUUGCAAGGGAUUUUCCUCUUAUAACUCGCGUACGCAACAACGCCUCUUCUUCUUCUUCUUAUUAUUUCUUUUUUAAGCUUCCCCAUUUUGUUGUUUUCGCUUUGCAUCUGGCAAAAACACGGAAGCAAAAGAACGCACUUUUAUAUAUAGUUUCCCAAGGGCACCCGCUCUUUGCAGCAAUGUUUCUCAACCAAAAAAAAAAAAUAGUUGAAUCAUGCAGUUGACCGGUUUUUAAGUCUAGAUCCACUCAACUUUACAAAUCAGAUCUGAGUUUUGUAUGAAAUAUCAUAUUUAACAAUUACAUAUUAUAUAUCAUGUUUCAGAUGGUUUAACACUCCCAAACUAUUAUUAAUGAAUUAUGCUCUUCUUCCUUUCCCUGCCGAAUAGGUCGACCGAGAAAAAUAAAAGAAGAAAAAAAUAUUCGAAGGCUCUCACCCCAAAGACAUGAUUCGCAACUCAUCAACCCUCGUCUUCUGCAGAAACCCUGCGCCAAUCUCCUUCACUCCCUUCUUGCUUUUAUCUCUGACAUCAUCUCGACAGCGAGAGAGGCUGGAUUCGAAAUCAUGUAUGGUGGCUUGCUUACAUCGCGCACAAAGGCAACGACUAUUUGCUGCUGGCAUUGUGCACCAACAACCUUGACUCUUGAGGGGGAAUAAUCUCAACCAGCAUACCUUCAAAUGCUAUAAUCCAUUAACUGUGCAAUUACCCUAGUUUGUCCCCAACAUCAUACAUAAUAUUUCCUACUAAUUAUACAAAAUUCAGAGUCUCUAUUUUGCUAUAAAUUGCCUCUAUCACUACACAACUGUUUAAAGAAUAUGUAAGAUGAUUUGUUCUUUUCCAUUUUUUUGAAAACCGGGGGGGGGGGGGGGUUGUGUGUGUGUGUGUGUGUGUUAAGGAACGUAAGAUAAUGGUGGAAAUUUGCAAUUAGCAUCUGACUCCAAGUUACUCCUAACAGCUAUCUUUGUCCUCGGCUUUGACUAGAUGGCUGUCCACUAACCCCUGAUAUUUGUUUUAAGUUGGUGAGGGCAUCCUGAGCAUGGCUUUUUGUCAUAACACUUCCAUAUUUAAAGGCAUCCACCAGGGCCCUAACAAGAGACUGAUUGAGAGAUUGGCGGUGGGCGAAGCUAUCAGCUCUCAACAUCUUAUCCACCAUACCAAUGGCCUUAUCCUGAAGCUCCCCUGGCCGCGAUUCUGUGAAGAGAACCACGACUGCAUUAGCCAUGCCAAGGCUUUCAAGCUCCCCCAUAGCACGCUUUAAACCAGCGGAGUUCUCCUGCAACAAGGUUGAAACUGCUUCUAAUGCAGCAACUUGGACAGUCGUAUCUCUGUCUGAGAGUGCAUCAACCAAAGGCUUGAUGCAAUUGCUCUUGAGUAGACAAAGUUGGCUACCUUCUUCACAUGGGGCGGCAUGAAUAGGACACAAAGAAUGUGCUGGAAGGGCCCUAGUACAUAUGAAGAAGGAAGAGCAGAAUCCUUGGGGAGGACUCGGGUCAAAGUCGCCAGCAGCAGCGAGGGACAUUCCAGAUUCUGACAAGUAUUUCAAACCCAGGGCAGCUAGUUGUUUCAUCCUCACUGUUGAUGCGAAAACCAGUUGGUCACGGAAAAUGGUCAUAACUUGAUGCUCUUUGAUUACACCAAGACAUUGUGGAUCAGAGCUCCUACAGAAGUGCAGUAAUAUGCCAAGGAGUCCUUCUGCCAUGGUGGAAUUGGACCUCGAACUUCUUCCAUUUGUACUGCAAUGCUGGCCCUUUAAAGUGGAAACGAUCCACUUAAUGAAACCAGUUCCUAACAUAGUUUUCACUUCAUUUUCUGAGAGGCUAAGAUUGGCAAGAAUGCAGGCAGCAUCAGAUCGCUCACCAUCUCUGGAUUGACUGUCAAGUACCUUGUCUUUGAGCAUGACAAACUUGUUGGAAGUUCUAAGUGCACUGGCAAGCUCUUCACCAAACCUCUCAGAGAGGACCCUUGUAAGCCUCAAAGCAUAAUUCCGGUGUUCAAUUUUUGGGUGCUCAAGAAAUGUGAUAAUUGUUUUGAUACCAUCUCCAGAUCUUAUGUGAGUAGUGACAGAUUCUGCAGAAAAGACAGUAACACCCAAUUGUCAUUAGUGACACAGGAGUGUCAUUAUCCCAGGAUGCUCUGAGGAUGAGUUCUGUUUCACCAUUAAGCAAGUUCUAGAAAACUAGUUGUGUUAGUUAAUGAAAACAUCAUUUAAGGCUAUUUUUCUUACACUAAUACAGGAAGGGUGUACUAAUAUCCAACUGCUUCCAAGCAUCUCGGAAAGUUUGGAUCAGAUUGUUUUCAAACCCCAUAACAUUGCUGUAUUCCAGUUACUAGGGAUUACAUUUUAAUUCUUUCUUUUUGAUUUCAUGUAAAGCAUUAAUCUCUCUUUCCUCUAAUCCAACUCCAAAGGGAAUGGUAACUUAUUUUUUCUGCAAAAGAGUGUAAAGGUUAUAUUGAUAUGACAAAAGUUACCUGAUGCUUGGGGCGAGGAUGCAAUACGAUAUAGAAUUUGGAGAACAGAUAGUUGGCAUGGAGGUGAUGCAAGUAAAAGAAGCCCCAGAAAACUAGAAAUAAUUGAUUCUGACUGCAGUGGAUGCCCUGCCUUGUCAGCAGAAGCUAAUUCCCAAUGUCCAGGGCUCAUCACAAUAUUUGCAAUAAUCGAUGCAGCUAAUGCCUUCAAUUCUAAGGAUACAACUUGAUUCUCAAAAAGAAUUUCUGUUAGAGCUGGAAGCACCGAAGAAUCAGUAAGGAUUGUAGCAUUUUCAGCAAAGCAUGAAAGGUUAUACAAAGCUUGCAGACUUGCUGCUCUUCCAUCCAGGUUUGAUAGCAGUUCAACUAAACUUCUAGCACCCUGACAAGCAAUUUGUUCCUUACUGCUAUUUGUCAAGGUCAUUCUCCCCACUACAGAUGCCGUCUCUAUUUUGACAUCAUCAGGACCUGUUCAAUGGAACAUUGAGAGUCAAUGAAAAAAAGUUUUUCCUUCCUUUCCUAUGGAAGUGUUCAUAGGAAUAUAGAGUAUACGUUUCGAAUAUGAUCAUUGGUGUCAAGUAGUUGAACAUAAUCAUUUUUGGCGUUUCCUGUGUUUCUAUGUACAAAUCUCCAGCUCAACAUUAAAGCAUAAGAAACUUAAACAGAAAUAUUAGAAAGAAACCUCUAAUCAUGCCCUUCAUCUAUUCAAUUAUUUUGUUGGAGCCCCGUCCUUAGUUUUAUUUGUAUGAUUUCAAAGCAAAUUUCUGUUUUAUUAAGUAAACAGGUAAUUAUGUGAAUAAAUCUUCUGACCUCCGGGUGUACAUGCCAAUGAAUCAUCAGACCUCUGAUUCAUUUUUUUUUUCCAUUUUCUCAAAUUCAGUACAAGAAUACAGUUACAGAAAAAUGUAUAAUGCAUGUCGCAAAACAGUAAUAAAUGGUGAGAAUAUAACUAGUAAGCGUUCACACUGACAAUAUACUUUGGAUCCUUGAUUAUAUUUAAAUUAUUUGUUCUAGAUCACCAGAAGGGAAAAUGAAAGAGUUUCAGGGGCAGGACUGCUUGUAAUGUUGGAUGUGCUGAAACAUCUACAAUAAACAAUUUUUCAAUGUCCGAGUUUCUGGGAACCUGGACGCCCCAAAGAAAUUUUAGUAACUAUAAAAGCCUGAGAACUAAACUUUGAAGAUGAAACUUCUCUUAUCUGCAAACAUGUGAAUUAUAUAAUCAAGCAGCCAUAGUUCUUAACCGAGUAUCCUUGUCAAUUUGUCCCUAAUGUUUCAGCACUACAAUAGAAUACGUACCUUCGCAUAACCGUUUCAUUAAAGGUUCAAAUCUUCCAGCCACUGCUAAAUGCUCAACAUUCUGCUCCACCUUCUCUAUGCGCUUCAGGACCUCCUCAGCUAAAUGAGAUAAAGAAGGAUUUUCCAGAUUAUCUGCCAUACAUGAAAGAAGAACUAACGCCCCCUUUUCUGAAGCAAUUUUGAUGCAGAAAUCUUCAUCACUUGAGAAGUCAAGUAAUAACCUCACUGCAAAUUCUCUCUCUUUCUCUGAGCUCCCAAUCAGACCAUGUAUAGCCGACCUAGUAAUCCCCUCUUCAAGCAUCAUCACCUGGAAAAUGGUGUGAAGAGGAAAAACAAAAAGGGUCGUAAUGUCAAGAUAGUGCACAAGAUUUCAUAUAUUAAUAAUUUUAGAAGCUAUAUUUUACUAUACUUUCACAGCUAAACAAAAGGAAUAAAGAAUUUUCACAUGCGUUCCAUAACAUGCAUCAAUGAACUUCAUUGAACAUUGGUCAGCUAAACGACUAUUAAAGACCAAUUGAGAGACUGUGCAACAUAUUCUUUGACACCCUAAUACCCAAUCCUUAGAGUAAAAAGGAAUAAAUUGACAAGAUAAACAAAAAAAAAAUAAAUGGCAAGAUCAAUGUGAACCUGUUCUCUUCAUUAAGGAGACGAAAGCCUCUCCCUCACACUUUCUCCCUUCAUAAGAUCAAGCUGACUUGCCAAAGGUUGACAAAGAAGACUACUUCACAAAAUGAGUGCUCACAUCAAGUGUACAAUAGCUGGGAAUCUACCUAGUGCUCACAUCAAGUGCACAAUAGCUGGGAAUCUACCUUUUUCUUACCAUUAUAUUGACAGGGCCAUAACUUUUUAGUUGUGACAAAGAUUGAAUCCAGCAGUUCAUAGGCUAGCAACUACCCAGACAGCCUUUUACUUCCUUCUGAUAGAUCACGAAUUCAGACACUUAGAACUUAAAACUACUGCUGAACGCUGCCAGAGAAACGUAACUUUAGUUUCUCAGGAAGCCUAAAGACAGCAUGUUCAGUUGGGCUACAUCUAUAAAAACAAGAGCAAAAAGCACCAAAGAGAUUAGACUACAUCGCCAAUGCCAGCAGUUAUCAGGACGUUUUAUAUUCACAGCACAAGAAAAGUGAAGGUUGCCAUGUUAACUUUUUAGUUGUUAGAAGAGGUUGAACACACUCACCCUGCUUUCUUCAUCCUUGGCCAUGCUAAACAAUACCAUAAGAGCUUUACUUCUUAAAAGUGAUCCAAUAACCUUCGAAGAAUUCCUCAGCAGCUUGAGAAUAAGAACAACAAUGCCUUCAUUUCUGACCCUGUAUCUGCUCAUAGGAUGCUCUUCAGAAAUCUUAUAUAUGCUAUCCAGUGACCUGUCAAUUGAGUCCAUCGAUGAAGAAUCCUCACUGAGAUACUCAACAGCUCUCUUAAUCUGAACCUCAAUAUUCCGGUUGACCCACUCAUCAAUAGCACCAGCUAAUCCAAUGUUAGGCUUGAGCUCCAAUGACUUUAGCACCACCCCAGUAACAGGACAAGUCGGCUCACGACCAUCUUCUAAACAUCUCUCAAACCAAUAAUUAAUAGCAGUUUUCUCAUAUGUCUGAGCCGAUUCCAACACAACAGGACUCUUCAUUAUCUCCUUGGUUAAGGGACAAAUAAAGUUCUUAAAAGGCAAUAAUUGAGCUCCUUCCUCUUCAGAAUUGAAAUCGAACUUCUGGGUUAGAAUAUCCGGCUGAAUUGCCCAAUUUUCGACAAUCUUCGCUAAUGAUGUCAAGAUACGCCUAUCUGAUAUAGAAGAUGAGUUGCCUAUAUCAUUCCUAAGAAGCUUAACCUGAUCAGCUAAUGCCAAGUGGUUAUUAGAGUCUAUCCCCAAAGCUCUAGCUAAAUCCAUUACCAUUGCACUCUGCACUGCUUUGCUGCAUUGCCUUCCUUGCCCUUCCUUUUUCAAAGUGCAAUAAACUCUUUCUUCAUUCUCUGUCACCUACAUAUCACAGGCCAACAGCUAGCGCACAUUAAAACACCCCUCAUUGACACAGAGAUGGACGCACAUAAUAUCAAAACUCUAAAAUGCUACUGCAAGAGCGGAAAGAGACAGGCCAUAAGCACAGAUAAAAAAGCGCGCACACUACUAUAACAAAACGAAAAAUGGGAAAACACAUAUCCGAACAGAAACGCAGACGCACACCCCAGUAAAAAACAUGGAUUAACACCCAAACAACAUUAUAAUAACUAAAACGAUAGCAAUAAUACUAACGACGACUUAGAACAAUUGACAGAAAAAUGGAAAAGACCGGUCCAGAGCACACGUAAAACACACACAUGCACAAAGGAAACUUAAACCGACUUUUUUUCUUCAGAAACUUAAGAAGAGUGAACAGGAAAGUGGCCAAAAGCACAUACUAUAAAAACACGAUUUUGAUGUCAUAAAAUAUACAAUAAUAAGGUGGAGAUUAAAAAGAAAAUUUACUCUGAAGUGAGCUUGUUUCAUAUCUCUAGAAAGAUCAGCGAUUUUGUUUUGGAGAUCGGGAAUGCCGUCGUCUUGCACGGCGGAGCCGAGGAGCGCUAACCACGCGGCAAUGGCUAACGUGCGCUCGUGGAGAGAGGCGCAGAGCUCCAGACAGUUAAUGAGCACAAAGAUCUUGCUCUUGUGUUUGUACACAGCUAAAGUCUCAGCGACUUGAGUCAAAUCAACGGUGAUACCUUUGAGAGCAGUCAGAACGGAAGGUGGGAGGUUCUCUGGCACCGUCGACCGGAGAAGCUGGUUGACUAGGAAGUGUAUCCUCUUGGCGUAUCCGGAGAAGCGUCUAGCGUUUUCCCAAGCGUACUGGCGGUCGUCGGAGACGGAGACAUCGGACAAUGCUCGGUGGAUUGCCUCCACGGCGGCGUGUGAGGAGGACGAUGAGGUCAUUUCCAUUUCCGGGGUGCGUUAGACGAGGAGGGUCAAAGUAGGAAGUCAGGCAUGACUGACUAUGUGUGUUUUGGAGCAGUAUUAGUAGUAAAAAUUGUUGGCCGUUUGAGUGAGGGUGAGCGGUGAUUGUGAAGCUCUGUAAUUUUCCUCAGUUUGAUUGCAAUGCUGGGUGGGAUGGGAAGAAGAAGAAAGAGUCAAAGGUUGACUAGGGGGACGACCUUGACACGCAGAUAAGUAUUAAGUAGUGCUGCUUUGCCUGCUGCCCCUCUGGCCCCCAAUUGAAUUAUAUCAAGGGAUAAUUGCAGAAACCUCCCCUGAGGUUUCUGACAUUUGCACUGAUCUCCCCUGUGGUUUGAAAAAUUACACUAACCUCCCCUGAGGUUACUAAUCCUUUGCAAAUCCAGUCCAAACGAUUAAAAUAUUGUUUUAGGGAGUGAAAUUAAAAGUUUUUACCAAAUUUGUCCUUUGUAUUACAUGUCCAAUGAAUGACAAAGUACUACAAAUUAAUUAACAAUUAAUAAAUUUUAAGGAGUAUAGUUUAUAAACAAAUACGCAUUACCUAUUUAAAGUAUCGGCUCUUUAUGGGCAUUUUACUUUCAAACAUUUAAUUUAAUACAAAUAUUUAAGCUCAAAUACAGAUUUGUAUUUACUUUCAAAUAUUUAAUUUUUAUUAAAUACAAAAACUACCAAUCUUUGUUCCCGUAAAAAUAUUAAUAUAACACUUUUUCAAUUUUAAUUACAAACAUUUAUGUAUUUAACAUAAAUUAAAUGAUUCAGAAUAAAAUACCCAUAAAGAGCCAAUACUUUACUCAUGUAAUGGAUGAUAGCCAUAAAGAAUUAAUACUUUAUGGGUCAUUUCUUUUUUUAAAAAAAUAUUUAAUUUAUAUUAAAUAAAUAACCUACCGAUUUCUUUUUUGCAAGAAUAUUACUGUAACACUUUUUUGAAUUUUACUUACAAACAUUGAUAUGUUUAUCAUAAAUUAAAUAUUUGAAAGUAAAAUACCCGUAAAAAACCGGUAAUUUAAAUGAGUAAUGCAUGUUUGCCCAUAAAGAACCGGUAACUAUUUAAAGUACCGGUUCUUUACGGGUAUUUUAUUUUCAAACAUUUAAUUUAAUACAAAUAUUUACGCUCAAAUACAUUUUUGUAUUUACUUUCAAAUAUUUAAUUUUUGUUAAAUACAAAACCUACCAAUCUCUCUUCCGUAAAAAUAUUAAUAUAACACUUUUUCAAUUUUAGUUACAAAUAUUUAUGUAUUUAACAUAAAUUAAAUGAUUCAUAAUAAAAUACACAUAAAAAAUGAAUACUUUACUUAUGUAAUGGAUGAAAAUCAUAAAAAAUUAAUACUUUAUGGGCCAUUUCUUUUUUUUAAAAAAUAUUUAAUUUAUAUUAAAUAAAUAACCUACCGAUUUCCUUUUUGCAAGAAUAUUACUGUAACACUUUUUGAAUUUUACUUACUAAUAUUGAUAUAUUUAUCAUAAAUUAAAUGUUUGAAAGUAAAAUACCCGUAAAGAGCCGGUACUUUAAAUAGGUAAUGCGUAUUUGCCUAUAAAUUAUACUCCUUAGAGUUUAUUAAUUGUUAAUUGAUUUGUAGUACUUUGUCGUUCAUUGGACAUGUAGUACAAAGGAAAAAUUUGGUAAAAACUUUUAAUUUCACUCCCUAAAAUAAUAUUUUAAUAGUUUGGACUGAAUUUGCAAAGGAUUAGUAAUCUCAGGGGAGGUUAGUGUAAUUGUUCAAACCACAUGGGAGGUCAGUGUAAAUGUCAGAAACCUUAGGGGAGGUUUCUGUAAUUAUCCCUUAUAUCAAUUAAUAGACGGUAUUAAUAACUUGAUAUGAAAUUCAAGGAACCCUUUCCUUCAAAAAAAAAAUAAAAAUUCAAGGAACCCAGCACCCUAAGAAAAGAAAAUAAUUUCUUGUACAAAGUAAUUCGUCCAUAUUGGAAUAUGGAUUAGAAAUUCCAUAAUCAGGUUUACUACCCAAUUGAUCCAACAUGGCGAAUAGUAGUAGUAGAGUGUUUCAUUUCAUAACCCCUCUCUUCUCACGUUCCAAGAGAGAGUUGACCGUGCAGUUCCCCGCUGGUUACGUUACAAUCUCUGGUGCUUAUUAGUACUACCCAUAGUUGUCAAAAUCGCGAUCCGGAUCGUAGGAUCGUACGAUCCUACGAUCCGGAUAACCAAAAUCGAUCCGGAUCGUAUGCAGAGUCGCAAAUCAUAUUAAUUUUUUGCAGGAUCGCAUAGAAUCGUAGCAGGAUCGUGCAGGAUCGUUCAGGAUCGUUCAGGAUCGUAUAGGAUCGUAGGAUCGUAGGAUCGUACGAUCCUACAAUUUUUUUGUAAAUUUGUGAAAUACGAAGCUCCAUUUUGCAAAUAAAUGAAAAUAUUUGUGGUAUAUUUGUAAUUUAUCAAAGAAUUGCAACCUUUAAUUGCAAUUAAGAGCUUUUGGUAGGAUCUUACGAUUCUACGAUCCGAUCCUACGAUCCGAUCCUGUGAAACUAAAAUCGAUCCUACGUAGGAUCCCGAUUUUACAAACCUUGGUACUACCACCACCAUGUGUUUUGACACCUUCAAUUGGGAUGGUUUUCUGUUUUGACACCGUCAAUGAUUUUUUAUUUUUUAUUUUUCGGGCGCAUCCCUUCCGCGUCUUUGCACUGACCCCAACACAGCCUUUCAUUGGCUCUGACGGUUCCCUGCCCCACUCCUAAGACCUUUUGUAAAGUACUCUUAUCACAUUCCUUCUUCUCUUUUGGGAAGAAUAUGCGGUUUCUUUACAGUGUAGUUCCCAAAACGAUUGCUUCCAUGGAAAAUUUUUAAAAGAUGGCAGGCAACGUGCAAAUGUUUCAUGUGUGGCGCGUCCGUUGCUUCUAAUAAAUGCAAUUCUGUUUUACAGCGUAAUUCCAUCUUUUUGGGAACAAUGGGGUUAAGAAUCGUUUAGUCCAGCAGCCGUGUGAGCACAAGGUGGCUUUUGAAUUACUUAAAUCCAAUUGAACAAACAAGAAGGGAAGCAACUAUACCAAUCACAGAAGGUCGCUUGCUUAAUCAAGCAACCAAUUACAAGUAAAUUUGUUUGUUUUUUUUCCUUCUUUUUUUUUUGGCAAAAUACAAGGGCUUUAUUCCUUCUGCUGUUGCGAAAUCAUUUCUGCAAAACCAUUCAUUUGUCCAGCGAAUACCUGUUCCUGCAACCAAAAACAUAUGAUCUCCUUUCAAGUGCAUAGCUUGAUUCCGCUAUAGCUGAAUGAAAUAUUUUAUUGUAUACAAACCUAAAGCUUGACAAUAAUAUCUAAAAGUGCUCCUCCACGUCUCAUUUUCUCAUACAGUGUCGUAGUAUUUUUGUUCCGAUUUUUGCCUUGAAUUUUGUAUUCUUAAAUACUUGCAAAAUCAUAUUACUUGAUUCAGAAGUAUCAAUUCCAUGAUAUAUUUCGCUGCUACAUACACGAGGAUGUAUCUAAUGCGAGAGAGCGCAAUCUUCUGGUUACCUUCAUAUACGACUUAUAUCACGGCCAAAUACAAGGGUCGUUAACCAGUUGAUUGCUACGUAGAAUCUGUUCCUCCAGCUUAUGACACGCGUAAGAUAAGCAGACCGCCAGACAAACCAGCUUCCAAAUCCAGCCACAGAUAAUCCUCUUGCCUCCUGUACAAGGCCUCAAGAAACUGAGCCACCCACCAGAAGCAGUUUAACAGCCACAACAAAGAAAUACACAUACAGAUACAUUGGGUCAUUAACUAACCUUGCUCUGCCUGAGGUCCACAAGGGCCUUGUAUCUACCAAUGGUCGCCAUGCUCCCCAAAUGCCUAUAGACAAAUGGAGACCCAAGAUCGAUCUCCAUUGCAGCAUUGGCACGUCCACCACCAGCUUUACCAAUCCUGUUCAGUUCUUGUGCUAGAUAUUUUCCCUGCCGCUCAGCAACCUGGCCAAUGUAUACAUUGCAGAAACAAAUUACUUGCGAUAGUAAAAGUACGUCAAAUUGAUGUAGUGCCAGCCGGUCCACCAAUAUGCAGCCACAAAUCUUCAACCACACAGUGCAACACAAGAACUAGAGAUUUGCUACAUGCAAAUCUGUUGUACUUGCUAAAAAUUCAUGUCAUGAUAGUCAAGAAUUGGCAGUAUUGAUCAACCUUAGCAAGGAACCCAGAAGAGGGCACCCUACCUCGUAAAACUUAUUACCACUGUUGGAACAAACAUUAUGCAAUCAACAGUUAAGGAUUUGUUACAUUGUCCAAAAACUGAACAACUGGAAAAAAAUGUAACCUGGAUAUAUAUAUAUAUAUAUAUAUAUAUAUAUAUAUAUAUAUAACAAUAACAACAAAAAAACAGCAAUCUCCUCAUUGAACCAAACCUUUGCUAAUUCACAAGUUCUCUUUCAAAAUUCUUUACUCACAUUCUGUUAGCCUUUUGUUUUUCAUUCAACAAUCUGUCGAGAAAAGAGCAGAAACUAAGCUUGAAAAAAAGAAUAUUGGAAUUAUUGAAGCACGAGGAAGGUAGUCUGGGAUAUGGUUUUGGGUUUGGAAAAGUAGACAGAUCCAGUACACCUUUCUAUGGGGAAAUGCAAAGCCAGAACGGAUCAUAUCCCAAGCAUGACGAAGUCUAGCUUAGGAGUUCCAUAAUAACUUAUCAAAAUGAAAGGGAAGAAAUGAAAUCCAAAAUGAAAUUUCAAACCUAUACCCACUUAACCAUAUAUAACUUAUCAAUUUACUGGAUAGAAAAGAAAGAGUUACCACAAACGUUCUCCAACUAUGUAACAAUUAUAACACUUUUCACACAAAAUUAUCUGCAUUAAGUAUUUUCCUUAACUUACCUGAGCCAGAGCUGGAAGCACAGGCUUGCCUGUAGAUUCAAGAAACCCACAGCAGUCACCAAUAGCAAAAACAUCCUGCACAGCAGGGACACGAAGCCACUCGUCUACCCCUAUCCUGAAGAUGCACGAACUGUUGUAAUAAGUCUUUCAAGUGCAGAAAAUAAAGAGAAAUUGGAAAUGGAAAAGAAACACAGCCCUGUGGUAACAUCUAGUGAUCAACAAUUUGACUACAUAACAAUCAUGUAAAACUCUUGGAGGCAGUGUAAAAUUACCAUGUGAUGUUCCAAAAUCAAACCUUAGUCAAUUCAAGUUGAUAGAAACCUGGAUGGAUAAACUUGUAAUUCUAUCAUAUGGAAGAAUCCAAAUCUUUUUUCUUUCUCUUUUUUUUUUAUUGGGGGUGGAGGGCGGGGAGCUAAUAUAAGUAUCUAGGAGAAGGAAUAAAUUUUUAUCCAUUUGGAGGCCAAUAACCUUAUCAGAAGCUUAAGCUUUCAAGAAAUCUGCAUGUAUAAAAGCAGAAGGUAUCGAAUCCAUGCUGACCUUCCCCCAGGUGAUUUGGGAACAUCCAGGGAUUUGACAAAAGGUGAAGGGCCAACGCCGGUAGACCACACCAGCAGACCAUAAGGUACAUCAGUCCCAUCACUAAGAACUAUCUUCUCAGGUUGAACAUCCUUCACAAUUCCACGAACUAGACGAACUCCUGACUGAGAAGCUACUAAAUUAAUAACAAAAAUCACAAACAACACUAUGAGGUCUGACAUGCUAAAUAGAAGUAAAUUAAAAAUACCAAUUGGUAGCCAAGGUAAACAAAAUAAACUACCUAAAUCCCUAGUCACAACAUCUAGGGCCAUACUUUCAUAUGAUUGAAAAACAUAGAAAUGACAAUCGUUAAAUUAACAUCUCUGCACAUAUAUAUGUGCAAAUGGACAUACAAACUCUUACCAGGGUCUCACCUUAAUCAACUGCUUGGUUGCGUAUAUCCGCAGGCGAUCAUCAAAGGAAGACAAAAUCUCAUUUGCCUGGAAAUGAAGAAGCAGUAACUUGUUAUGAUCAAUUAACACUUUGUGCAAAACGAGUAUUAUACAAAUAAGUAAUAAUUGCAAUAGGAAAAUGUCAACGCACAACAAAAAACAAGAAGAAGAAGAAAAAAAAGAAAAGUGAAGGCGCGAUACAGUAUUUUUUUUAUUAGCUUUACCUCAAUCAAAGUAACGCGUAUAUAAUCCUUGACAUGAGCGUAUCUCUGGCGGACAUCCCUCGUGAUAAAAUCACUAAGUUCACCGCUGAACUCAACGCCUGUUGGACCACCACCAACAACUACACAAUGUAGGAGCCUACGUUUCUCUUCAUCACUAACUCCUGCCUCACCGGUACCGUAUCAGCAAAAAGAGUCCAGAAUAAUGCUAGUUCAUUCAAAUGUGAGCAGAAUGUGGGAUAUAAGGCAGCAUAACGGAUACCUGGCACAUCAGAGAUCAUGAGAUUAAGAAGCAAUUUCCUCCGGAUUUCCUGAGCAUGAUGAACCUCGCGUAGAAAAAUGGCAUGUUCUUUAACACCCCUGAUGCCGAAAGUUGACGCUUCUGCUCCAGCUGCAAUCACCAGCUUGUCAUAUGCAAUGGUGAAGUUCCAUGGCUCCAAAGUACCAGCUCCAUCAGUUACUGUUUCGCAAUUCACCUACCCCAGAAAAAGGAAAAAAAAAAAAAAGAGUAAUGACCACUAAACAGCUAAGGAAACUAUGCUAAAAAAAGAAAAAUAUUGCUUUCUUAACACGAAAUUUAUAAGUAUUAGCGAUGAUCAUCAGACCAAAAAUGAGGGAAUAUAUACCAGAUGGUUUUGGAAAUCAACGCCGGUGGAGUUAGCAAGGAAAUAGUACGAACCGGGUUCCCGAGAAAUGGCAGGUUGGAUCCUUCCAAUGGGUUCGGCAACAGACCGGAAUUCCAGAGUGCCGACGCACGUGGAGGCCAGCAAUGGAGUGAAGACCAUGUGAUUCCUGGGGGAGACGCAAACGACGUCGUAAAUGCCGGUAUCGAUAUCUUUAAUGAGUCUGCAUCCGGCCCAUCCCGAGCCCAAAACCACCACCCUCGGCUUCUCAUCCCCCUUCGUGGGCGCGAGCCCAGCAUACCUCGCGGCAAUAGUACCAGCUCCACUGCCUUUAUCACUCACGUCCGCCUCCGCCGCCUUCUCUUCGGUGGCGGCGGUGCUGAACUGUGUCAACUGGUGGGUAAAAGCAUAGGAAAGUGACGUAGCAGUAGUGAUGGGUUUGAGGGAUGACUGUGUUCUGAAGGUCGUAGAGGAGGAGAGGUGGAUGAGAUUUCUGAACCAAGGCAUGGCGGUUUAAGGUGGAAACUGUUGUUUUUAAUAUUUUAUUUGUUUCUCUAUGUAGUAGUAGUGGUAGACUGGUACUUUUGAUGCUGGAUAAUGGAUUUAAGGGAGGAUUGACAUGAACGAAUUGGUGAUUGAGGAUUUAAGAAGGGAAUUGGAAGAUUCUCUGAUUUUUGGUAUCCCCAGUUUUUUGGGGAGAAAUAGAAGAGAGUUUCUGUGGUUUUGACGGAAAAUGGAUCGAGUACAGUCAUACGAGAAAUUAUUAUUAUUAUUAUUAUUGUCAUUGGCUGCUGCGUGGGGAGGACGAGACAGGUGGCGGCUUGCUGGGUCAACAGAUGGCAUGAUGGUGGUGGCUAUUACCUGGUCGAGGAUUCGGUGAAACAAAAAAUUUCGCGCCACGCAAGAGCUGGAAAUGUGGUACGGUGGUCUUUGUCCUUUUCUUUUUUGGUUUUAACAAAAUGGUCUUUGUCAGUUGAUAAUAUAAAAAAAAAAGAAGAAGAAGAAAACGGAUAUUACUUAGAAAAAAUUGAAAUAAACAAAGCCUUUGUGCCAGAUCUCUUUGGCAAAGUAGUUUGUUUUUUCGUUUUUGUGCAUAAUUUCUUAUAUUGGUUUUCCAUUUGUUGCUCGAUGAAGUUCAGAAGUUAAUUACUUGAUCUAUGUUGUUUUUCCUUCUAAACUAACAAUUUAAUCUAUUUUUAUGUUACGAGGGAGGAAGGUACCCAACACCAUUUGUAUGGAACUGGGCGUAAACUUGUUCCUUGAAAGAUUGUUUGUUCGCGUUGGGACAAAUUUGUUCAUGUAUUGACAGCCCACUACGCAGAAAUUCUAGGCCCAAAAUGAUCUGUUUACGGGAAACAUGUUUAUCCUUCUUCCAACAUUUAGGUCCCGUUUGGAAUUAGAGUGCAUUUAUAGGGGGGAAAGAAAGGCCUUUUUACACAUUAACGUAUUUUUAAGGUGUUUGAUAAUUAAUUUUUUAUAAUUUAAUAAAUUAAAUUUUUGAUAAUUUAAAAGCACUCUUACUAAAAAUAAUUGUGUCAGAAGUAUUUUUUUUUUUUUUUUACAAGUCAUCAUAAUUUCAAACGAGCCCUAAUCAAGAUGAAAUCACUUCUUAUCCCGAAGGAAAAAGGGACAAAGAACACUUGAUCAUGCUAUUCUUUGUUCCUACAAUCUUAUCCGCAAACUCUGAUUGACUAUUGCACAUCCAAAGGAAAAGCAAAGCGAAUUAGAAAUGAAAAUGUGUAGGCAUCAUUUUCAUUGUACGUACAAUUUGAUGCGAGCAAGGGCGUAGACGUUAUAGUUUUGAUAAAUUGACAACCUGCUCCUCCUCGAUGAAAAAUGACAUUAAAAACAAAGCCUCUAACAUGAAUUUCAUUGAAUAAAAUGGGGAAUAGAGAAACAGCAUACAAAACAACAACGCCUUUAACAUGGAUUUCAUUUAAACAAUAGUAAAGGAAAGAAAGAAACAGCAUGCACAACAUAGCCUUCAAAAAAAAAAAACUUUGCAUUGUUGAACAGACAAGUGUCAUGUAAGCUUGAAACUGUCGAGCGUUGCCCCGACGAAGCCCUCCUUAAGCAUAGGACAUCCAUAACUGCAAAUAAACAAACACAUAGUAUAAUAUAGGUGAUCACAUAGUUAUCUGGCCUCCUCUGCUGGCAUUUUUCCUAGGAUCAUGGCCCUUGUUAGCCGUAGCUGCAGCGUAGUCAUCGAGCUUGGUUUUCAGAGAUCGUCCUUCAAUGCCGCCAACAGUCGUCUCGUCUUCUGCAAAAUUAACAUCGUCAUCAUCAACAAACAGUACUGAGAUGGCUGGUUCUCAUGACUUCAGAACCAAUAUCCAGUUAAUAAUUAAACCCCCAUAAAAGAGAGAGUGAGAGAUGCAUGCAUGCAUGUUUAGCACAGAACAACUGACAUUGAGUACGGUUUGUUCAAUAUAAAGAUUCCCAUCUUAAUUAUAUGUUCACAUCCAUCGGCGAUCGUCCGAUCACUGCCACUGUCUGACAUAGUUGGCUAAUUGGUAGAGGUGGCAAAAUGGGCGGGAUUUGCUUGGGUUUGAGAUGGAACCGAGUCAUAUGGGUUUGGGCCCAAUCUUACCCAUAUGUGUUUUGGGACUAACUUGGGCGGGAUCAUUUUGGGAUGGGUUUAGAUUGAUCCCGCCCAAUACCCAAAUCCAUUUUCUACAUAUUUUUUUUCCUUUAAUUCAUUUUUUAUUUUUAUAUAAUUUUAAUAUUUUUGAUUUAUUAAAUUUCUUUUAGUUUUAUUAAAUAAACAUGCAAGUGCUUUAUACUCAAGAUUCCCACCAAAAAUUGGAUUAACAAAUAAAGGAAAAGAUAGAUAUACAGCCAUAUUCCAACAUAUAUUAAGAUGGCCAAGGUCCUUAGGAUGUUGAAUAUUUAUCCUUAUCAUUGUCCAAGGAUGACAGGUCUAAACUAACUGAAAUGCUGGAAAUUCUUGUGGAUAAUGACUAGGAAGACUACUAGAUUAUAUUCGCUGGUAUGACUAUAAAAAUUGUUAAAGAUAAUUUUUGAAUCUAAGAUUCCGUUUGGAUUGACUUUUUUUUCAAAAAAUAAGUUUUUCAAAUAAAAUGUUACAGUAAUAUACAAUAACUCAAGAAACAUCCCAUCCAUAUUAAUAUAUCAAAUAUUUCAAAAAAAUUUUAUAGUAAAAAUUUUUCAUAUACACUGCUACAAUAAAAUAUUUCAAAAACACCUACCAAAAACAGCUAAUCCAAACGGAGCCCUUGCCAUUUGAGCCCAAUGGGUACCCAAGUAUUUCCCAUCCUUUCCCAUUCAUUAAUGGGUAUAGUUGGGAUGUGUCCCAACUUAAACCCAAUACCAAAUUAUAAUACCCAUCCCGCCCAAAGUUCCUUUGGGCAUGGGUAGCCCAUUGGGACUUGGGACAAAUUGCCAGCUCUACUAAUUGGCUCGUAAACCGUCGUAACAGAUACUACUAUUACUAUAAAUUAAGCUGCGCGUAAAACAACAAAAUCUCAUCAUAAUAACAUUAAUACCGAUAAACAAAUAUAAGAACCGAGGGGGAAGGGAAAAAAAAAUAUUUUUCUUUUUAGUGACCCCAGUAUCAGGAAUUACAAGCUUAAACACCCAGCGUGCAAAAAAAAAAAAAAUGAAUGAAAAAAAAAAAAACAUUUUGGGUGAAUUUUUAUGGUGAUUUGUUUUUCUGGCUAAGAAUUCAUUCCAGGAUGCGUGCCUGCGAUGAAAACCGGUGGAAAGCCCGCAUAGCAUUUCUAUGAAUAUCGGCAGAUGUUUAGAUAAGAAAAUAUAAACGUAGAACGAUGACAUUUGAAAGUACCUGAUAGAAACACGGAGUUUCUAGCGGAGGCAACAACGAGAAAGGCAAGUAGAAGACAUAAGCAGAGUCGACUUCCUCUUCCCAUUUCCAUCCUUCUCAGUUUUUUCACUCCUCAAGAAGAUGGCCUGGUGUUGUGCAGUGAGUAUAUACGUAGAAGUCUUAGCGCUGGCGUUGUGCAGUGAGUAUAUAUAUGUAUAACAAAGGUCAUGGCGCCCCCCCCAAAAAAAAAAAAGCCAUUUUCAUUUUGGGGUACGUUGGGGAAGAUUGCAGUUGACAUUCGAGCAAAUGGUUUGAGACAUGAUGUGAGAGUUUUGUGGGAGUAUCCGAGCCGCGCAUCGCAUCUUGGGUCAACGGAUUGCUGUUGCUUACCUAACUAAUUUAAGGUAAGCUGCCGUUUACCAUAUGUAAUUCCUUUAGUUGGGUAGCAAUCAGAAACUUUACGGACUCCAGGAGAUUGAGAAGCACAUGGAAUUAAACUUGUGACUUCCACGCCAACCCGUCCGAGAUAGCAAUUCAGUAAAGAAUUCUUCAUAUACUAGUUUUUAUAAUUUCGUUGUCUUCAUCUUAGUACCUUAUUAACACAUUGAAGGCUCCUACAAGUGAAUCAUCACACAUUCAGCUCAUUUUAGUACCUUAAUAAAUAGAUUGAAGCCCAAGUAAGUGGAACAUAAAAAGCUAGAAAGGGGAAAAUAAAUAUGCAAUUAAACGAGUUUUGAAGGAAACUGAUAAUCAAGCCAUUUGUUACAAGGACAAACGAGUUUUUUGUCUGUCAAACGAGUGUCCACUUGUUAAUGUGUAAUUCAUUUGUUAACAUUUUUUCAAAAAAUAGAGUUAUUCAAAUGUGUGCAUUCACGUGAUAAGUUGGAUAUAUAUAUAUAUAUAUAUAUAUAUUUUUUUUUUAAGGAAACCAGUUACUAAUAGUUAAUUGCUCCAGCAUUUGGAUAGUUUCCGUUGACAUUCCUAAGCCUUCCAUAUAUAUAUAUAUGGAAGCAUGAGACAUGGUUUCGACAUUGAUUUUUUGGGUUUUCUUAAAUGGGACUCGUUAACAUAUCUAAAAUUUACCCAAUUUAUCAUAUAUAUAUAUAUAUAUAUAUACAUAUUAAUAAUUAUUACUCUUCCUUAUUUAAUAUAUAUUAAACCGGAACAUUUUUCUUAUUAAUGUAUUUUGAUUUUUAAUAAUAAACAAACAAGCAGGCUUGUAAACGAUCAUACACAUUUUUCUUAAUAUUUAAAAAUUAUAUACCCAUGGCUUUGGCUCUUCGGUUUCGGUUCCACUCCAAAAUGGAUGUAGAGAGAGAGAGAGGGAGGGGAUGAUUGAAAAAAGAAAACGAAUAUUUCAACAAGGAAUUUCCAUUUUAUAACGUGUCCGUCCAAAAGCAUCUCUUUAAUCUCACAACCCAACCAUUCAGCCAAAAAAUGAAAAAUUUUCUCAUAAUCCAAAUCCAAACAAAUUUAAUGAAAGAACACUACUACUAGGAAAAUUCGCAGCCCCACAGAAGCCAAUUAAUGCUAAGUAAUACUCCUGGCAAAAUCGAAACUGUUUCCUGUAAUGGCUCACAUUAUUAAUUUCGGCUGCCACUCACGGCCGCGGGUUCGCGUAUUUAUAAGAUACAUGCUGGUUGUUUCAUAUCCAAGAUUCAGCUUAGCUAAUCACAAGGGUUUUUGGUUUGACUCUCUAACCUAAUCUCUUUUCUUAUCCCCUCUUGUAUGAUUUUGAGUAUCCUCUUGAAUAAAAAAACGUUUGAUUGUUCUAAACAAAAACUAGGAUAAAGAGUUUGGCUAAUGAGUACGUAUCCAUUAAUUACUCAUUAAGAGCACUCAUUACAAGUAGCCUUAAGUGUUUUUUUUUUUUUUGUUUUGUUUUGCCAAUAAGUGUAAUUACUAUGAGAAGGUAUCUAAAUGCACAAGGUGCAAUAAUUAUGACUGUAUAUAUUCACAUGGUAAAUAAGCAAACAUACUUUAGUAAAAUCCUAGCAUGAAUGAUUUGUUUUUUAAUUUAUCAAUGAUAUAUAACGCCUAGCUAUUCAUAGUAUAAUCUUAUAAGACAAAUAUUAAUUCCUUUAAUUUUAUCCUUAAAUCUCCAAGCUUGAUGGGCGUUGGACCCCAAAAGCUAGGAAAAGUAAAAUAAAAUGUUUCAGCAUGUGUCUGUCACACAUAUAGAUAUGAUAGAUAAAUAAUCAAUAGAAUCUAACUCCUCUCGAUCGGCCACUUGUGAUUAGAAAGGAAAAUGCAUCAGUUGAUCUAAAGUUUCAAUUCACAAAUUGAUAUGAGCAAAGAAGCAAAUGUUGUAGUAGUGGAUAAAUUGUAAUCCUCCUCCUCCUCCUCCUCAAUGAAAAUGCCACUUAAUAACAAAGUCUUGAACAUGAAUUUCAUUAAGAAAAAAAAAACAUGGAAAGAAAGAAACAGCAUACACGACAAACCCUUCAACGAAAAUGUAAACAGGAAACUGUUGCCUUGACGAAGCCCUCCUUAAGCAUAGGAAUAUCCAUAACCGCAAAAAUAAACAAAACAUCAAACGGAGCUCUUUAUUGCACAUAAUGCAUCAGUUGAUCUAAAGUUACAGUUUUAGACCCCCAGGAUUGGAUCAUACUCUUUAGCCACUCACGUCGUAUGCAGAAAAAGGUACUGAUAGCAAAUUUCCGGGCUUGGUUUUAUCAACGUUUCCUGGGCCGUCAUUUGCGGUGACCGCGCCUAGGAUCAUGGCCGGUGUUAGCCGAGGGUGCGCUGUAAUCAUCAAGCUUGAUUUUCAGAGACCUUCCUUCCAUCCCGGCAACAAUCGUCUCCUCUUCUGAAAAACAUAUAUCAUCAUCAAUAAACACUGAUAUGGCUGGCUCAGACUUCAGAAGCAAUAUCCAAUUAAUUAUUAAACCAAAAAGAAAAAAAUAAGAUAUGCAUUUUCAGCACAGAACGAGAUGAGUUGACUGUUUUUUUUUUUUUUUAAUAUGAAGAUUCUCAUAAUAUGUUUUUAGAGCCAUUGAGGGCCGUACCACCGUCUGCCAUGGUUGGCUCGUAAACCGUAACGAAGGCUCUAUAACAAAUUAAGCACGUCGCACAACAAUAUCUCAUGAUCUCAUCGUAAUAAUGAACAUACUGAUAAACAUAUACAAGAACCGAGGGGGCCCAAAUAAAAAAAAAAAAAUGACCCCAGCAUCUGCAAUUACAAGCUCAGAGCACCAAGUCCCCAGAGUGCAAAGUAGAAAAAAUCUUAGGUGAAAUUUUAAGUUGAUUUCCUUUUUUUUUUUUGGGUUAAGAAUAUUCCAGGAUGCAUGCCUGGGACAGAAACGGAGAGAGAGCCCAUUUACAUUUUCUGUGAAUAUGUACGGGUGUUUCGUUGGAAAUAGGUAAAUGCGUGAAUGGAUAAUGAUACUCGAAAAUACCUGAAAUGAAAAUGGUGUUUCUAGCGGAGCAAAUAACGAGAAAGGCAAGCAGAAUACAGAAGCAGAAUCGACUUCCUCCUCCGAAGCCCAUUCCUCUUUUCAGUUUUUACUCCUAAAGAAGACGGUGUUGUGCAGUGAAUGCCCUUCCUUCUAUAUAGAAAGAGUUCUUUCUACGACUGUGGGUGCCUGGAGUCAUAUAUAUAUAUAGCGUCAUUUCUGUUCCCCUUUUUUUGUUUAAAAAAAAAAAGUGGGGUUUGGUGGAAAAUUGGAGUUGACAUUUGCAAGUUGCAACCCGUUUGCGAUGUGGAGUAUUCUUGGAGUAUCUGAACCGCUCAUUUUGGUCAACGGAUUGCUUUUUUUUUUUUUGGGCCAAUGGAUUGCUGUUGCUUGCUUAUCUAAUCAAGGUAAACGUAGCUGGGUAGCGAUCACAAACUUUACGGACUCCAUGAGAUUGAGAAGCCAGGAAAUUACUGUGGAGAGUGUGUUUGAAUAGUAGAAUUAUUUUAAAUAAUAUUUUAUUUAUAUUAUAGAUAUAAUUUGAAUUAAUUUUUUUUAUUUCACAUACAUCAAAUCCUAAAAAAUGCUAUAAUAAUUGUUCUAAAUAAUAUUUGAAAUAAUCUCAUAUUGCAUCCUUCAUGUAGUUUUUUGGACAAUAUUUUCCCCCUGAUUUUAGUUUUAUUUUUGCAAAACUUUAAUGGCCCCAAAUCCAAUGAGUAGAACACGACAAAGUAUUGGGACCGACCCAAAUGAGUGGUUAACAGGGAAGAACCAUUUUCCCGAUCAAAUGAAUUAUGGAGGAAACUAAUAAUCAAGUUAAUUGUCACAAACAAACUAUUGGGAUCAAACCAGUAGUUAGGGAAAAAGUCUUUCAGAAUCUUCCCCUUUAUCAAUUUAAGGAUUCGAAUUGUGUUCCUGACAAUUACGGGUGAAAGAGAGUGUGGGUAGGGAUGAGAAGGUUAAAAGUUAAUUUCACAACAACAAAAAAAAGAAGAAGAUGAUCAUUAUUUUUUCCUUCAAGAAAAAUAGAUUUGUACAUAGAACAGCUUAUGACUGCCACUAAAUCCAAAGAUUAGCAUAGCAAAUUAUUGUCAAAGUAUUCAAAUAGUUUCCGCAGACAUUCCUUGCACCUUCCAUACAUUCUUGUUGGCAGUUGGCAGCACCAUGUACAGGACUUAUUCCUUCCACUGGGAUUCUCAGCUAUUUCCGUACCUUCCGAUUAUUCCCAUGCCAAAGUCGUUUGCAGGUACCAUCAGAACCAUUCCACUAGGCAUUUUAUUUUUCAUUUUAUGAUGUGAAAUUCAAUUCAAGAGAUUCAAACAUUGAGGACGAAAUUUGUGGUGGACGAGCCAUAUACAUGUCUCAUAUCACAACAACAUCUAUGGACUAUGGAUGCAGCAUGAAAGUAGAGAGAACUAGCAAUCCGACGAAGUUCAGCGUUCACGUUCAUCACAAAGUCUCUCCGGCCAAAAAGCCAUCCUGCUGCACGUUCACACCCUGAACUAUGUGGCUUUCUAGAGACAAAAACCGGUGGCCAAAUUAACUUCACACUCACUGCCACUGGUGCUUCUUAAGCUAUAACCCCUUCUGCAAAACCACGUACAUAUACACGUAAGCUAGGGUGAAUCUCUACUAGCCACCAUUUACCCCUUUUUUUUGUAAUAAAAAAUUUAUCUGAAUUCGACUCCAACCAUAACCACGCUUUAGAAUAUGUUUUUGAGAUCAUAAAUUACUUGCAAAAGAGCUAUCCCUUAUUGAGUCCCCUUCCACGUCCCGGUCAAUAAAGAAAAUAAAUGAACAAGGGUUUUAACCCCGCACCGAACGGCAUAAAGUUCAUCGUAAUAGUUGUGAGUCUUGUGACUUGCAAGCUGCGCCUUUUAAAAAAACAAAAAAAAGAAGGAUUUAUUCAGCCGUUUUCCUUCUUUUUUUAAUUUACCUUCCAAAGAAUUUUUCUGCUGUUACUUGGACAUCCAACCAUGGAGAAGACCUUAUGACUUCUAUAAGCCAUAACUGCCCCGUUUAUCUUCAUAUUUAUCAACUACUUGCCAGUCGAUGGCAUAUGCAUCGUCCUCACGAACUGACACUUAAAAAUUUACCGGAUAAAAUAAUCAAAAAACACACCAAGAGAAUCGACACAAUGUCAUUCAUUAGAGGUAUUAAAAUGGAUGACUCCAACGACUUUGGACAUGUCAUGAUUGGAUAAUGGAUUUAAGUUCAUCAAUUCAUUUAUACCAAUUUAAAUAAAUGAGUACUCAUAUAUAUAUUUAUUUAAUAAAUACAUAUUGAUAUAUCCAAUUACCCAUUUAUGAACUACUUAAAAUUCUACUUAUUUUUUUCUUUUUUUUAGCAUUUUCUUUGACAAAAAAAAUAUUUUGUUACUAUCAGAUUGAUAAAAAAUUCAAAUUUAUUUACUUAACACUCACUAAAAGUUGAAUUUAAAUAUAUAUAAUUAUUUUUAAAUAGAUAUACAUGAGUGAAUCGAAUCAACUCACUACUUUAAUUGACUACCCAUUUAGAUCCAUUCAAAAUUAACGAGCAAGUUUAAAUGAAUUAUUGGUGAACGAAUCAACAUAAUUAGUUGUGAUGGACACCUCUAAAUGUCACCAAGCAAGAAAACCUUGUGGAGAAGACUUUGGCAAUACGUAUUAGGCCUGGUAAACUCGACUAGCAUCAAAACAUCCGGAAAAGUAGAGUGAUACUCGACGAGUUUUAAGGAGAAGACUAUGGUAAUACAAACUAGGCUUAGUAAACUCGACUAGCAUCAACACAUCCGGAAAAGUAGUAGUACUUAACCGGUGUGCCACACGCCUUCAUUAUGGUAACAACUUUGCAUUGUUGUCUUUUGUUUGUCACAUGGCAUCUAAGCAUGCUGUGUAUUCCUCCUUUCAAUGGAAAAAAUUCGUGAAGAAAACAUGACUCCCCACCGUCCAGAUACUCGACUGGAUCUUACCUGAUCAGAGCAAGUUAUAAAAAGAGGAAAAAGAACUCAGAAAAGUGCUUUUAGCCAGCGUCAUGACAAUCAAGCAAAUUCUUCAAGCAAAUAUUACAUUACCAGAAAAAAAGGUCAUCUGGCAUCUUUAGCAUAAUCUGACCUGCUGCGAGGGGCACAGGCAUGAAUGUGGAUCUUUUAACAAGAAGAUUAUGGACAUAAACAAGAAAAUGGAAUAUAUUAAUUUUCUGUUUACACCUUAAAAUAACAAGCAAAGAUCAACGCAAAAUGGUGCAUGCCAUGGAAAAAUCCCGCAAAAAAGCGGUACCACAGGAAUCACUGAAUCAAGCACCCACAGCAGGGAAUAUCCAACCAAAACAUAAAUAACAGAAACUAAUAUGCAAACAAUUUUGACAGCUAAAACAGGUUCUUGAAAUACACCUAUCCAUAACAAUAUCAAGUGCAAUAAGUUGUUGAUACACCAUAAGAAACAUCAAACCUAAAAAACCGUUAGCUGUUUAUAAAGUGAACAAACUUCAGAGAAUUACCAGCCAGAAAGGAAGUUCAGCUUUAGCAAGGCCUAGACAGAGAUUGCACACUAUAGAGAGAGAAAUUUCAGAUCAUUUCCUUCCCACAAAAG